AUGACUGGGCGUACCGGGAGUGCAGGCGGCCAGGUCAGUCUGAAGUGAAAGCCCGGGGCUCAAGCCCGGAAUUGCUUUGGAUACUGUCUGGCUUGAGUGUGCGAGAGGAAAGCGGAAUUCCAGGUGUCUCGGUCACAUGCGUAUAUGUCUGGACGAACACCGGUGUGUGAAACGCGGCUUUCUUGGCGCAUAAACUGACGCUUGAGGCUCCAAAAGCGUGGCGGAGCGAACUGGGAUUAGAUACCGCCGGUAGUCCACGCCGUAAACGCUGGGCAAUAGGUGUGGAUCGGUAUCGACCCCUUCCAGUGCCGGAGCUAACGCAUUAAGUGAACCGCCUCGGGGAGUACGGUCGCAAGAACGACACUCAAAGGAAUCGACGGGGGCCCGCACAACCGGCGGAGCAUGCGGUCAACGUCGAGGCAACGCGAAGAACCUUACCCAGGCGCGACGAUCCCGAGACCGCCGUGGAAACAUGGUUUCCCCCUCAGGGCGGACUCAGGUGACAGGUGUGGCAUGGCUGUCGUCAGCUCCUAGUAGUGAGAUGUUGGAUUAAGUCCCGCAACGAGCGCAACCCCUGUCCCUAGUUACCAGCGGUUCGCCCGGGCACUCUAGGGAGACUGCCGGUUGAUGAACCGGAGCAAGGUGGGGACGACGUCAAGUCAUCACAGGCCCUUAUGCCCGGGGCGACACACGUGCUAC
Molecule: ribosomal RNA, 699 nt
Filed under: uncultured organism
Description: partial 16S ribosomal RNA
Rfam family: Bacterial small subunit ribosomal RNA
Source: RNAcentral